GACAAAGGACUAAAUCAUUCCAGGGAGCCCAGAGACAGCCUAAGUAGCUGGUUCUAACCUGCAAUUCCACCACACAGACCCUCUGCUCCAGUGCUACCAAACGAUGUACUGGUUCCACUCUUCACUAAAACUUUCUCAGCCUUCCUGUCCGGGCCACCUCCUGGGAUCGGCAUAGGCAUCACCUGCUCCAGGAAGCCUUCCCGGUUGACCCUUCUCUGCAUCUUCAUGCUAGUCUGGAAAAAAGAUACCACAAAAUAACUAUGGUCAACCAUAUGAAGGACCAACCCUGCCAGCCAUCGGAAGAGUUUCAAAAGCAAGACGUCACCCUGUGCUGUGCCCCUACACACAU
Non-coding RNA from Callorhinus ursinus (northern fur seal), 349 nucleotides. The record is from RefSeq and is a predicted model, not a curated record. Lineage: Eukaryota; Metazoa; Chordata; Mammalia; Carnivora; Otariidae.